CCCUUAGAUGUUCUGGGCCGCACGCGCGCUACACUGACAGGGCCAGCGAGUACAUCACCUUCACCGAGAGGUUUGGGUAAUCUUGUUAAACCCUGUCGUGCUGGGGAUAGAGCAUUGCAAUUAUUGCUCUUCAACGAGGAAUGCCUAGUAGGCACGAGUCAUCAGCUCGUGCCGAUUACGUCCCUGCCCUUUGUACACACCGCCCGUCGCUACUACCGAUUGAAUGGCUCAGUGAGGCCUUGGGAUUGGCUUAGGAGGGUUGGCAACGACCCCCCAGAGCCGAAAACUUGGUCAAACUCGGUCAUUUAGAGGAAGUAAAAGUCGUAACA
This 329-nucleotide ribosomal RNA is filed under the name uncultured eukaryote. RNAcentral's name for it is "partial 18S ribosomal RNA". It matches the Rfam family "Eukaryotic small subunit ribosomal RNA", at positions 1470 to 1796 of the family's 1831-position model. The record is from RNAcentral.